RNAcentral lists this ribosomal RNA (441 nucleotides) under uncultured Burkholderiales bacterium. RNAcentral describes it as "bacterial SSU rRNA". It matches the Rfam family "Bacterial small subunit ribosomal RNA", at positions 349 to 782 of the family's 1533-position model. Lineage: Bacteria; Pseudomonadati; Pseudomonadota; Betaproteobacteria; Burkholderiales. The record is from RNAcentral.
CAGCAGUGGGGAAUUUUGGACAAUGGGGGCAACCCUGAUCCAGCCAUGCCGCGUGCGGGAAGAAGGCCUUCGGGUUGUAAACCGCUUUUGUCAGGGAAGAAACGGCCCGACCUAAUAUGUCGGGCUAAUGACGGUACCUGAAGAAUAAGCACCGGCUAACUACGUGCCAGCAGCCGCGGUAAUACGUAGGGUGCAAGCGUUAAUCGGAAUUACUGGGCGUAAAGCGUGCGCAGGCGGCUUUGCAAGACAGAUGUGAAAUCCCCGGGCUUAACCUGGGAACUGCAUUUGUGACUGCAUGGCUCGAGUGCGGCAGAGGGGGAUGGAAUUCCGCGUGUAGCAGUGAAAUGCGUAGAUAUGCGGAGGAACACCGAUGGCGAAGGCAAUCCCCUGGGCCUGCACUGACGCUCAUGCACGAAAGCGUGGGGAGCAAACAGGAUUAGA